CGGUACGGCAAAGCACAGUUCUGCAUAAUACAAUGCAGCAUGAUUCAACAUUCAAUAAGCCUAACAACGUAACAUCAAACAUUAAGACCAUCUGUUGUCACAACAAACCGUACUGUAAAGCAUACGCCAGUGCUUCAUGUGGUCGAGCUUCACCCGCUCCAAACGCUUCGCUCUGAUCUGGAGCAGAACCAGCGCUGAUUCUGACCACCAACCGCACACCGAGCAAAGACACGGAGGAAAUGUUCCCCGACACACGACUACUGCUCUCAUUUCCUGCCCUCGUGCUUCAGGGGGACUGGAAUCAGUGUUUUCAAUUUAACAACACAUUAUAAAGAGCGGUAAAGAGGAAGCACGCGGCUCGGAAAAUAAUCAGCCCCUGCGUGUCAGGGAUAAUCCAAAUACAGAACAGAAGGGAAAACGGGGAGAACUGCAUAAUACGGGACUAAUUAAAUUCUUUCAUUGUUAUGUUAUGUCCAAAACAACUCGGUGGCGUCCAGAACUGAAGGUCAUUGACUGGGCAUGCUGCAGAUGGGUGAUAGAGGUCCAGUCUAGCGGUAAUGACAAUCCUUCUUAACAAGAUCAGAUUUAAAGGUUUCUCAAGCACUCUCUCUUUUUUGGAAGAACAUCUGGAUUCGACACAGAAGAUGUGAAUGUUUGCAAACAACAUUUCAAAGGACAAGUCUGCGUAGCCUGAGGGGCACGAACAACACAAUGUCUUUGUACGUCCUGCUCCUUUAAGAGGCAGGCGGCAGGAAAAGAGACCGUGACCUUCUGAAUGUGACUCACACUUCAUACUCGUGGCAAACAUGACACAAACACGGGCAUCUAUGACUGCUGACUCUUCGGCACCAAAGUUCUCAUAAUCUAACCGAGAACAAAACUGAAUGAACAUAGUGUAAGACUAUUAGGAAAUUGCUGACCUUUUCCUACGUGACAUUUCCAACAAAUUAGGUCAGAAUUAUGUAACAGGGGUUUGUGUCUGGCUAAAAUCACACACUGCAACAACAGCUUGAUUCGCUCAAUAUCACUACUGCAAGAAAACGAGUUAACUAUUAAAAAAUUAUGUUAACAAUAAUAAUAUCCAUAAAUAUAUAAUAAUAAUAAUAAUAAUAAUAAUAAUAAUAAUAAUAAUAAUAAUAAUAAUGAUAAUGAGUACAUUACUAAUCAUAAACAUCCAAAAGAUAAAUAUUAUUUUCCUUUGAAUAGAUUAAUUAUGUUAAACUGUGCAUGUUUAUGCCACUAAAUGAAUUUAAACAGUGGAAAAAACUGCUUUUUAUUUUAAAAUUCUUACUUUUUGUUAUCUCAAAAUUGCUUGUUUGUAUCUCAUAAUUCUGACAUUUUUCUUGCAGCUGCAUCUUUUUUCUUAAAAAUGGUGAAUUAUUAAGUCUUAAUAAUAAAGACUUAUAAUUUUUUUUCUUCCAAUUGCUUGUUUAAACCACCCAAUUCUAAUUUUAUUCAUUUCUUUUUUAAAUUUGCAACUUAAUUUCUCAGCAUUGCAGAAAUUUAUAUCACUACUUUUUGGGGAAAAAGAGUUUAUAUCUCUGAUUCUGGCAUUGUAGCUCACACAUGCAAGUUUAUAUCUAACAAUUCUGAGGAAAAAAAGGCAGAAUUGGGAGAUUAAAAGAUUGAAUUUAAUUUUUUUGAUUCAGUGACAAAAACAGCUUCCAUA
This is a long non-coding RNA of Puntigrus tetrazona (Sumatra barb), 1669 nucleotides long. RefSeq lists it as uncharacterized. The transcript has 3 exons. Lineage: Eukaryota; Metazoa; Chordata; Actinopteri; Cypriniformes; Cyprinidae. The record is from RefSeq and is a predicted model, not a curated record.